UUACGGGUUGGCCGGCAGCCCGCCGAGUG
Molecule: small RNA, 29 nt
Filed under: Bombyx mori (domestic silkworm)
Lineage: Eukaryota; Metazoa; Arthropoda; Insecta; Lepidoptera; Bombycidae
Description: ovarian small RNA-9362
Source: RNAcentral